RNAcentral lists this ribosomal RNA (2939 nucleotides) under Providencia stuartii. Its description in RNAcentral is "23S ribosomal RNA". It matches the Rfam family "Bacterial large subunit ribosomal RNA". The record is from RNAcentral. Lineage: Bacteria; Pseudomonadati; Pseudomonadota; Gammaproteobacteria; Enterobacterales; Morganellaceae.
GGGUUGUGAGGUUAAGCGACUAAGCGUACACGGUGGAUGCCUAGGCAAUCAGAGGCGAUGAAGGACGUGCUAAUCUGCGAAAAGCGUCGGUAAGGUGAUAUGAACCGUUAUAACCGACGAUGUCCGAAUGGGGAAACCCAGUGCAAUUCGUUGCACUAUCGUUUGAUGAAUCCAUAGUCAAACGAGGCGAACCGGGGGAACUGAAACAUCUCAGUACCCUGAGGAAAAGAAAUCAACCGAGAUUCCCCUAGUAGCGGCGAGCGAACGGGGAGCAGCCCAGAGUCUUAAUCAGCAUCAGCAUCAGGAGAACGGUCUGGAAAGGCCGGCAAUAAAGGGUGAUAGCCCCGUAUCCGAAGGUGUUGGUGUUGUGAACUCGACGAGUAGGGCGGGACACGUGUUAUCCUGUCUGAAUAUGGGGGGACCAUCCUCCAAGGCUAAAUACUCCUGAUUGACCGAUAGUGAACCAGUACCGUGAGGGAAAGGCGAAAAGAACCCCGGCGAGGGGAGUGAAAUAGAACCUGAAACCGUGUACGUACAAGCAGUGGGAGCCUUGAUUUAUCAGGGUGACUGCGUACCUUUUGUAUAAUGGGUCAGCGACUUAUAUUCUGUAGCAAGGUUAACCGAAUAGGGGAGCCGUAGGGAAACCGAGUCUUAACUGGGCGAAUGAGUUGCAGGGUAUAGACCCGAAACCCGGUGAUCUAGCCAUGGGCAGGUUGAAGGUUGGGUAACACUAACUGGAGGACCGAACCGACUAAUGUUGAAAAAUUAGCGGAUGACUUGUGGCUGGGGGUGAAAGGCCAAUCAAACCGGGAGAUAGCUGGUUCUCCCCGAAAGCUAUUUAGGUAGCGCCUCGUGAACUCAUCUUCGGGGGUAGAGCACUGUUUCGGCUAGGGGGUCAUCCCGACUUACCAACCCGAUGCAAACUACGAAUACCGAAGAAUGUUAUCACGGGAGACACACGGCGGGUGCUAACGUUCGUCGUGAAGAGGGAAACAACCCAGACCGCCAGCUAAGGUCCCAAAGUCAUGGUUAAGUGGGAAACGAAGUGGGAAGGCUCAGACAGCCAGGAUGUUGGCUUAGAAGCAGCCAUCAUUUAAAGAAAGCGUAAUAGCUCACUGGUCGAGUCGGCCUGCGCGGAAGAUGUAACGGGGCUAAACCAUGCACCGAAGCUGCGGCAGCGACAUGUAAAUGUUGUUGGGUAGGGGAGCGUUCUGUAAGCCUGUGAAGGUGUGCUGCGAGGCAUGCUGGAGGUAUCAGAAGUGCGAAUGCUGACAUAAGUAACGAUAAUGCGGGUGAAAAACCCGCACGCCGGAAGACCAAGGGUUCCUGUCCAACGUUAAUCGGGGCAGGGUGAGUCGACCCCUAAGGCGAGGCAGAAAUGCGUAGUCGAUGGGAAACAGGUUAAUAUUCCUGUACUGGUGAUAAUUGCGAUGGGGGGACGGAGAAGGCUAGGCUGGCCGGGCGACGGUUGUCCCGGUUUAAGGAUGUAGGUGGGUGAAUUAGGCAAAUCCGGUUCGCUAUACACUGAGGUCUGAUGACGAGUCACUACGGUGGCGAAGUAGCUCAUGCCCCGCUUCCAGGAAAAGCCUCUAAGCUCUAGAUUAUCAUUAAUCGUACCCCAAACCGACACAGGUGGUCAGGUAGAGAAUACUCAGGCGCUUGAGAGAACUCGGGUGAAGGAACUAGGCAAAAUGGUGCCGUAACUUCGGGAGAAGGCACGCUGGCACUAGGUGAAGUGGUUUACCCAUGGAGCUGAAGCCAGUCGCAGAUACCAGCUGGCUGCAACUGUUUAUUAAAAACACAGCACUGUGCAAACACGAAAGUGGACGUAUACGGUGUGACGCCUGCCCGGUGCUGGAAGGUUAAUUGAUGGGGUUAUCCGUAAGGAGAAGCUCUUGAUCGAAGCCCCAGUAAACGGCGGCCGUAACUAUAACGGUCCUAAGGUAGCGAAAUUCCUUGUCGGGUAAGUUCCGACCUGCACGAAUGGCGUAAUGAUGGCCAGGCUGUCUCCACCCGAGACUCAGUGAAAUUGAACUCGCUGUGAAGAUGCAGUGUACCCGCGGCAAGACGGAAAGACCCCGUGAACCUUUACUAUAGCUUGACACUGAACAUUGAGCCUUGAUGUGUAGGAUAGGUGGGAGGCUUUGAAGUGUGGACGCCAGUCUGCAUGGAGCCAACCUUGAAAUACCACCCUUUAAUGUUUGAUGUUCUAACGUUGCCCCAUAAUCUGGGGUGCGGACAGUGUCUGGUGGGUAGUUUGACUGGGGCGGUCUCCUCCCAAAGCGUAACGGAGGAGCACGAAGGUUGGCUAAGCAUGGUCGGACAUCAUGCGGUUAGUGCAAAGGCAUAAGCCAGCUUGACUGCGAGAGUGACGGCUCGAGCAGGUACGAAAGUAGGUCUUAGUGAUCCGGUGGUUCUGAAUGGAAGGGCCAUCGCUCAACGGAUAAAAGGUACUCCGGGGAUAACAGGCUGAUACCGCCCAAGAGUUCAUAUCGACGGCGGUGUUUGGCACCUCGAUGUCGGCUCAUCACAUCCUGGGGCUGAAGUAGGUCCCAAGGGUAUGGCUGUUCGCCAUUUAAAGUGGUACGCGAGCUGGGUUUAGAACGUCGUGAGACAGUUCGGUCCCUAUCUGCCGUGGGCGUUGGAAGAUUGAAAGGGGCUGCUCCUAGUACGAGAGGACCGGAGUGGACGCACCGCUGGUGUUCGGGUUGUCAUGCCAAUGGCACUGCCCGGUAGCUAAGUGCGGAAGAGAUAACCGCUGAAAGCAUCUAAGCGGGAAACUUGCCUUGAGAUGAGUCUUCCCUGACUCUUUAAGGGUCCUAAAGGAACGUUUAAGACGAAGACGUUGAUAGGCUGGGUGUGUAAGCGUAGCGAUACGUUGAGCUAACCAGUACUAAUGAACCGUGAGGCUUAACCUGACAACACCGAAGGUGUUUUAG